Molecule: ribosomal RNA, 600 nt
Filed under: Marinobacter sp.
Lineage: Bacteria; Pseudomonadati; Pseudomonadota; Gammaproteobacteria; Pseudomonadales; Marinobacteraceae
Description: bacterial SSU rRNA
Rfam family: Bacterial small subunit ribosomal RNA
Source: RNAcentral
GGCGCAGCUUACCAUGCAAGUCGAGCGGUAACAGGGGGUGCUUGCACCCCGCUGACGAGCGGCGGACGGGUGAGUAAUGCAUAGGAAUCUGCCCAGUAGUGGGGGAUAGCCCGGGGAAACCCGGAUUAAUACCGCAUACGCCCUUUGGGGGAAAGCAGGGGAUCUUCGGACCUUGCGCUAUUGGAUGAGCCUAUGUCGGAUUAGCUAGUUGGUGGGGUAAAGGCCUACCAAGGCGACGAUCCGUAGCUGGUCUGAGAGGAUGAUCAGCCACAUCGGGACUGAGACACGGCCCGAACUCCUACGGGAGGCAGCAGUGGGGAAUAUUGGACAAUGGGGGCAACCCUGAUCCAGCCAUGCCGCGUGUGUGAAGAAGGCUUUCGGGUUGUAAAGCACUUUCAGUGAGGAGGAAAACCUUCUGGUUAAUACCCAUGAGGCUUGACGUUACUCACAGAAGAAGCACCGGCUAACUCCGUGCCAGCAGCCGCGGUAAUACGGAGGGUGCAAGCGUUAAUCGGAAUUACUGGGCGUAAAGCGCGCGUAGGUGGUUUGAUAAGCGAGAUGUGAAAGCCCCGGGCUUAACCUGGGAACGGCAUUUCGAAC